This is a long non-coding RNA of Triplophysa dalaica, 1044 nucleotides long. RefSeq lists it as uncharacterized. The record is from RefSeq and is a predicted model, not a curated record. Lineage: Eukaryota; Metazoa; Chordata; Actinopteri; Cypriniformes; Nemacheilidae. The transcript is spliced from 3 exons.
GGCUGGAGGCGAGAGCGCAAGCUGAACAGAGACUUGAGGCAGCUCUCCUAUUUUUGUUUCCACAGACAAGACGCAGAAGCUGGCCACACACAAAAAAGUUUCCCAUGCCUAAGAAAACAGAAACUCUGCUGUGGUCAAGAAACUUGAGAAAAACACGACAACAGUUAGAGGGAGGUUCAACGCUUCUUGUAUAAGUUAUUUUAAGGUGCUACAUUUAGUAAACACAGGAUAUCAUGAUGAAAAGUUGGCGAAGUGCAAAUACUUUUAACCAGUUAAAUGAAUAACAUUAAAAACGUUACGACGGGACGUCAGACUAUAUUCAUAUGACGUCAUUUAUUUGAUCAACCUCAGAUCAGUUGUUUGUUUUUUAGAACUUUUACUUACUGAGUCAUAGAAUACGUAAUAUGUGAGUAAGUGCAGGUAUAACGUUAGCUGUAUUACACACGUCUGUUCCCACAGCAUAUAUUAAAUGUCUUUCAAUAGGCUUCGUUAAACGCAUGCGCAAGCCUUUGCGGUUUAUUGAUCGGGAGUAAAUUGACCUUUUUUUGGCAACUAAUAUCAGUCCCAUUUAUGGUCAAGUUCCUCCCUGGUGAACGACCGGGAAACCUCUCCCAGGUCGGCCAGAUUCCAGAAGUAACGCCCCCGUGUACAGAGCGUGGAGGAGGACUUGACUGCUUUUCAACAGGCAGGCGUGAAAACUGGAGUACUCUGACUCAGGAAUGAUUACGGGUCAACAGCAGGUCAUGGAAGGUGAUGUCAUUUCAGAUGAGAUGAGAUCAGAGCGUAUCAGUGAAUGUUUCUGCUGAAUGUCAAGCCCCAGUCACGCAUGCUGGCGGAUGAGACAGGUGUGGCCCAUCAGGGCGUGUGGCUUGUGGUGGUCUCGUGAUCGAAGUGGCAAUACUGGAAACUAUCAAAGUGAGACGGAAAGCUUUUAGUCAAUCAGACCACAGGACACUCAAAACUGCCCGGCACUCAAACGGUUAAACAGCUCUUCACUUCACAGGAGAGUCAAUUCAUUCACCUUAUAUGGAUACCGGUCUACUU